CUUUCUACUUUCAUUUUUAGGCAUCGCCGAAUAUCGUUAUUGCCCUGGCUGGCAAUAAAGCGGAUCUAUCAAAUAUUCGUGUUGUAGAAUACGAAGAAGCAAAGCAAUAUGCCGAAGAGAACGGAUUACUCUUCAUGGAAACAUCGGCAAAAACGGGAAUGAAUGUUAAUGAUAUCUUUUUAGCAAUUGCUAAGAAAUUACCUAAAAACGACGGAGCAAAUAAUCAAGGCGCUCCCGCUGGUAGAAGGCUGAAUGAUAAUGAAAAUACCCGACAAACAAACAAUUGCUGCAAGUGAUGUCCUUUUGUAGAAAAUGAAAUUUCCAACGAGAGAUUUGAAAAAAUUAUGCUGAUAAUUAUAAAUAAAAAAAUAAAUAUUUAAAUUACAAUUUAAAAACCAGAAAUAGAAAGCAGAAACAAAAAUACGGAUGAUAAUGAUGAUGAUGAUGUUGAGUGGGAAAGCAACCAAUAAUAAUAUAAAAUAUAAAAUUUAAAUUAUGAAAAAUUAUGAUAAGGAUGGUAAUGCUAUGAAAAUAGAUUAAAAUAAAGUCACAUUAAAAAUCGAUAACAGAAAGAAAGUAAAAACAUAAAACAGAAAACAAACAAACGCUCCCUUUUCAGCUCCCUCGUCACCAAAAUCAGCAGCAAUACUCGAGCAGCAAUGUACUACUACUUUCUAAUACAGCUGCCUAAAUAUAUAAUCUGUUAACACACCCAGAUUUCACUUUGCUCCCGCAUCCACAUCAACAUUUUACGUUUGCGUUUGUUCACUCCUCGAAAAAGAACACAAAAAAGUAAAAUCCGCAAAUUCAGUAAACAAAUUAAUAAUCUAUACUAAAUGAAAGUUCAAACGUAAACUUUUUCAAAA
This is a long non-coding RNA of Rhagoletis pomonella (apple maggot), 866 nucleotides long. RefSeq lists it as uncharacterized. The transcript is spliced from 3 exons. The record is from RefSeq and is a predicted model, not a curated record. Lineage: Eukaryota; Metazoa; Arthropoda; Insecta; Diptera; Tephritidae.